CCUACGGGCGGCAGCAGUGAGGAAUAUUGGACAAUGGUCGGAAGACUGAUCCAGCCAUGCCGCGUGCAGGAUGAAGGUCCUAUGGAUUGUAAACUGCUUUUGUAAGGGAAGAAUAAGGAGUACGCGUACUUUGAUGACGGUACCUUACGAAUAAGCAUCGGCUAACUCCGUGCCAGCAGCCGCGGUAAUACGGAGGAUGCGAGCGUUAUCCGGAAUCAUUGGGUUUAAAGGGUCUGUAGGCGGGCCUAUAAGUCAGAGGUGAAAGCGCUUAGCUCAACUAAGCAACUGCCUUUGAAACUGUAGGUCUUGAAUGGUUGUGAAGUAGGUGGAAUGUGUAGUGUAGCGGUGAAAUGCUUAGAUAUUACACAGAACACCGAUAGCGAAGGCAUAUUACUAACAAUUGAUUGACGCUGAUGGACGAAAGCGUGGGGAGCGAACAGGAUUAGAUACCCUAGUAGUC
This 460-nucleotide ribosomal RNA is filed under the name uncultured Capnocytophaga sp. RNAcentral describes it as "bacterial SSU rRNA". It matches the Rfam family "Bacterial small subunit ribosomal RNA", at positions 338 to 795 of the family's 1533-position model. The record is from RNAcentral. Lineage: Bacteria; Pseudomonadati; Bacteroidota; Flavobacteriia; Flavobacteriales; Flavobacteriaceae.